AGGAUUCCCCUAGCUACGGCGAGCUCCCCGGGAAGAGCUCAAAUUUGAAAUCUGCUCCUCAGGGCGUCCGAGUUGUAAUCUAUAGAGGCGUUUUCCGUGCCGGACCGUGUCCAAGUUCCUUGGAACAGGAUAUCAAAGAGGGUGACAAUCCCGUACUUGACACGAUGACCGGUGCUCUGUGAUACGUCUUCUACGAGUCGAGUUGUUUGGGAAUGCAGCUCAAAAUGGGUGGUGAGUUCCAUCUAAAGCUAAAUAUUGGCGAGAGACCGAUAGCGAACAAGUACCGUGAGGGAAAGAUGAAAAGCACUUUGGAAAGAGAGUUAAACAGUACGUGAAAUUGUUGAAAGGGAAACGAUUGAAGUCAGUCGUGACUGAGAGGCUCAGCCGGUUCUGCCGGUGUAUUCCCCUCAGUCGGGUCAACAUCAGUUUUGUCCGGUGGAAAAGGGCGGUAGGAACGUGGCACCUCCGGGUGUGUUAUAGCCUGCCGUCGCAUACAUCGGGUGAGACUGAGGAAUGCAGCUCGCCUUUAUGGCCGGGGUUCGCCCACGUCCGAGCUUAGGA
Molecule: ribosomal RNA, 561 nt
Filed under: Papiliotrema laurentii
Lineage: Eukaryota; Fungi; Basidiomycota; Tremellomycetes; Tremellales; Rhynchogastremaceae
Description: LSU rRNA
Rfam family: Eukaryotic large subunit ribosomal RNA
Source: RNAcentral